RNAcentral lists this ribosomal RNA (321 nucleotides) under uncultured eukaryote. RNAcentral describes it as "partial 18S ribosomal RNA". It matches the Rfam family "Eukaryotic small subunit ribosomal RNA", at positions 1470 to 1796 of the family's 1831-position model. The record is from RNAcentral.
CCCUUAGAUGUCCUGGGCCGCACGCGCGCUACACUGACGUGUUCAACAAGCCUCCUAGUUCGACAGGAUUUGGGAAAUCUUUGAACGCAUGUCGUGAUAGGGAUAGAUCAUUGCAAUUAUUGAUCUUGAACGAGGAAUUCCUAGUAAACGCGAGUCAUCAGCUCGCAUUGAUUACGUCCCUGCCCUUUGUACACACCGCCCGUCGCACCUACCGAUUGAAUGUUUCGGUGAAGAUUCCGGAUAGGACUUUUUUGAUUUAUUUCAAUUUUGUCUUAAAAGCUAUCUAAACCUCAACAUUUAGAGGAAGGUGAAGUCGUAACA